AUCUUUCAUCCCUUGAAGGUAUUAAGGAAUUGACGUUUAAGUUCUCGGGUUCUGCGGCAGGCUUGUUUGGAGAUAGUUUUCCUUUCCUCGGGUGGAUCUGUUGAGCGUGGACUCGAUCGAGGGGCAUAACCAAGUUUCAGGUAAGGGCACAGCGAGGGGCAGACCGACGAGAGGCAGGAAGGAUGCGUGAAGGCCAUAUGGAC
Molecule: long non-coding RNA, 203 nt
Organism: Cucumis melo (muskmelon)
Lineage: Eukaryota; Viridiplantae; Streptophyta; Magnoliopsida; Cucurbitales; Cucurbitaceae
Exons: 3
Source: RefSeq, a predicted model, not a curated record